UGUUUCGGCUAGGGGGCCAUCCCGGCUUACCAACCCGAUGCAAACUGCGAAUACCGGAGAAUGUUAUCACGGGAGACACACGGCGGGUGCUAACGUCCGUCGUGAAGAGGGAAACAACCCAGACCGCCAGCUAAGGUCCCAAAGUCAUGGUUAAGUGGGAAACGAUGUGGGAAGGCCCAGACAGCCAGGAUGUUGGCUUAGAAGCAGCCAUCAUUUAAAGAAAGCGUAAUAGCUCACUGGUCGAGUCGGCCUGCGCGGAAGAUGUAACGGGGCUAAACCAUGCACCGAAGCUGCGGCAGCGACACUGUGUGUUGUUGGGUAGGGGAGCGUUCUGUAAGCCUGUGAAGGUGUGUCGUGAGGCAUGCUGGAGGUAUCAGAAGUGCGAAUGCUGACAUAAGUAACGAUAAAGCGGGUGAAAAGCCCGCUCGCCGGAAGACCAAGGGUUCCUGUCCAACGUUAAUCGGGGCAGGGUGAGUCGACCCCUAAGGCGAGGCCGAAAGGCGUAGUCGAUGGGAAACGGGUUAAUAUUCCCGUACUUGGUGUUACUGCGAAGGGGGGACGGAGAAGGCUAUGUUGGCCGGGCGACGGUU
Molecule: ribosomal RNA, 590 nt
Filed under: Salmonella enterica subsp. enterica serovar Senftenberg
Lineage: Bacteria; Pseudomonadati; Pseudomonadota; Gammaproteobacteria; Enterobacterales; Enterobacteriaceae
Also listed under: 1 other name
Description: partial 23S ribosomal RNA
Rfam family: Bacterial large subunit ribosomal RNA
Source: RNAcentral